GUUGAAACACUGGUUUUCAUACGAUCACCAAAGUUAAGCAACAUUGAGCCUGGUCAGUAAGUAGAUGGGUGACCACUUGGGAAUACAAGGUGCUAUA
Acanthosepion pharaonis is the source of this 97-nucleotide non-coding RNA. The record is from the annotation of a GenBank genome assembly. Lineage: Eukaryota; Metazoa; Mollusca; Cephalopoda; Sepiida; Sepiidae.